RNAcentral lists this ribosomal RNA (372 nucleotides) under Triticum aestivum (bread wheat). Its description in RNAcentral is "partial small subunit ribosomal RNA". The record is from RNAcentral. Lineage: Eukaryota; Viridiplantae; Streptophyta; Magnoliopsida; Poales; Poaceae.
GAAACGCAGAUCAAUGGAUAUGUAGUGACAGGCGCUUUAGCUUCAAAGAAUGUCCUUCACUGGCGAGUUCCUGGCCCUGAGUGCCCUCUCGAGCCUCAGGAUGGAGAAGUCAUUGCUUAUAUGCAACACUUAGACCGGGGCUUCAGCCUUCCCGGUUCAAAAAAUUUCCGGGAUGUCCUUGCCAGCUUUCAACUCCAUCCACAAGACAUUGGACCAAAUUCCGUGUCAAACAUAUGCAACUUUCAAGUAUUUUUUGAAGUUUACCUUCAAGAAGAACCAUCUGUCGAGCUGUUCCGGGACUUCUUCCACUUAAACCGCCGAACCGAGUUUUCUGAUGGCCCUAACACAGAACUUGGCAGGGUAUCAAUCUAG